GCUGGGAGCUUCCUAGAGCGCAAAGUCUGAGACAGAUUAGGGUAGACGAGCACAUCGCAGAGGUCGUUUACGUCGAGCUGUGCAUGUUCCGCGCGUUGUUUGGCGAGUGAGCCCGGAGCUCGCGCCCUCUGACGCCCUACCGGCCGCAGCUCGCCCGCUGCCUCCCACGUUACUCCUCGGGGAUGGGACCCGGAUGCAGGUGCCCUGAGCUUUCCUGGAAUCCCAGACUCUCCAGGGGCCACUGACCCCGAGGCCGCUUUCCUCCGUGACCGGAACCUCGCUCCCCCUCCCGCGGCUCAGCGCCCCUUCCCUCCCAGGCCAGGACGGCGAGAUGCUGGCGGCCUUCUACAGUUCGUUCAGGGUCUCACUCGUGGUCAGUGCGGUCCCAGGAUGCGGAGUCGGGAUCGUCCUUAUCGGAUGGCCCUUUUACCAGGAUGUUAGGACGCUCCUCACUGUGGCAAUGUCUUUCCAGCUUCGGGUCCACCGGGAUCGAGAGCUCGGACCCGACGGCUGCUAAAUUCCGCGUGGGCCUGGAGGCGUUCGGUUUCAGGCUGGGGCCGUCCGGAAUCCCUCAUCCAGAUGACAGCUCCUGGCGGACCCAGGACGGGGAUGGCGUUGCUUGCGGGGGGUGCUGACCUGGAGGUCGGGAGGCUAAGGCUCCAUUCAGCUGUGUUUGUGCCAUGAAAGCGAUCUUCACAGCAUCUUCACCAGGAGUAGAUUCCAUCUCAAGAAUCCACUUUCUUUGCUCACCCAUGAGAAGCAGCUCCUCAUCCAUUCAAGUUUUAUCCUGAGACUGCAGAAAUUCGGUCACAUCUUCAGUCUCCACUGCUGAUUCUAGCUCUCCUGCUGUUUCCACCAUAUCUGCAGUGACUUCCUCCACCGGAGUCUGAAGCCCUCCAUGUCAUCCAUGAGGGAUGGAAUCAACUUCUUCCAAACUCCUGUUAAUGUUGAUUAGUGUGAUUGUUCCCAUGAAUCACAAAUGUUCUGUUCUUAAUGGCAUCUAGGAAGGAGAAUACUUUCCAGAAGGUUUUCAAUUGACUUUGCUCAGAUUCAUCAGAGGAAUCACUGUCUAUGGCAUCUGUAGCCUUGCGAAAGUUCUCUCUAGGUCCUGUUGGGAUAAGUUCCUGGACUUGGCCCUAUUCCGAAUCGGCUGGGAGUAGUAGGACGUGGAGAUCAAGCCGUGGUGGACAGUGCCCGAAACCUUUACCUUUCCUUUGGGAUUUUACAUAGAAGAGGGCCAGGAGGAGCCAUGUUCGCUCCUCACGGUUGCCGAGCCUGGCGAGCCGGAGAUUCUGUGAGGACCACCGUCUCUCUUGCCUCCGCGCUCUCCAGGGGGCGCUUCUGGAAACCAUCCACGUCUGCGCGGACGACCACCAAGGCUGUCCUGGUUCCAGACGUCUCUCCUGGGCUUCAGAUCCAGGGCUCCACCAGCCUGCUGGGAGGCCCCUCAAAUGACACUCGCAACAGUGCGCC
This is an RNA transcript of Physeter macrocephalus (sperm whale), 1473 nucleotides long. It is a transcript of the gene named non-histone chromosomal protein HMG-14-like, with no coding region annotated. NCBI's taxonomy places the organism in Eukaryota, Metazoa, Chordata, Mammalia, Artiodactyla, Physeteridae. The transcript is spliced from 5 exons. The record is from RefSeq and is a predicted model, not a curated record.